AUUUUUAAGCCUAAACACAGCCAUCGUGAUCUAUUUCUUCUCCCACGCAUUGUGCCCUUCUCAUUUAGUACAGCAACAAGAAGCAAAGAUUGCAUUACUUGCUGCUUCUGUGUAUAACUCGGAUUAUUCUUGGAUUACUUUUUGUUGUAUCCAGCAGAUCAGAUAGGACUUGCUUCACAUUGUGGUACUUGAAUUACUCCCUGUAUUGUCGAUAUUGAAACAUUUAAGGUUUUAUCUGUAUUAAGAUCUUGCACCGUGUUGGCUCUUCUCUUGUAACAACUCCUCUAGCAAGAAUGUAAUUCUGGAAGCUACUGCUAACUUGGUUUGAUAUCUUUUAAUAAGACAGAACCUAGUUUUCUGUGCUCUUCACCAUGGGACGUUUGUGAAAGGUUAUUUUUAUCAAGUGACACUUUUCUUUUCAUGUCAUCCAUCUUUCACUGGAAAAGUUGAAACUGGAAGCUGGCUGUGUGGUUAUUGAGGUGUCUUCUGCUGAUGCAUGUGCUGAAGGAAACUUGAAGCCAUGUCCAGGCUGGCGUUCCGCUGAGUGCCAGUUGGUAUGUCUGUAUUUGGGGCACGAGUGGUCACGAGAGCUGCUGGUUGGACAAAGUGGGGAUGAGAGGUCGUGGUGCCAAGCGUUCCUGUAGCUGAGGUCCAGCUCUGCAUUGCUGUGAGAAGCCAUCCAGCUCUUCUCUCUGUGCUUACCGUAGUUCCUGAUGGCAGUUGCUGCCAGCUCCAGCACUGGCUGCUCUCUGCACGCUGCCCGUUUGGAUCUCUGCCUGUCCCUUUGGAAACAAGCUGUAGUGCACCGAGACAUUGUGCCGUGGACAAGCAUAGGGUGGGCUGAGUAGCUGAUGCUGACAGUGCCCUCUCCUUCCCAUUCAUCUGUUGUCUUAGAGCACGUUUUCUGGCCCAGGAGGGCUCGACUUCGGGUGUCCUCGAGCAAAGUGCUUUGAUCUAGCAGGGUGCACUGUAGUUCUUGUUGGAGUUAAGGCACACAUCAGGCAUAACAUGCGAAGCUUGCCUGUACAGGACCUGGAAGAUGCAGUCCCUGUUCUCAUGGCUGUGUUGAUUCUGUAAAACAGCAGUUUGGGAAGUAGCUGCCUGCUGCCACCCUGCAUCCUCUGCUCCUGUGUCACGGUGUCCCGGAUCCCCAGCAGCGUAGGAACUUCUUCGGAUAGGAGAGGGCUGAAGGAUGUGGGCCCAGGAAGCAGCAGUGUUCCUGGUGGGCAUAACGCCACGCCUGAUUGCUGUUCAAACCAUGGUUGCACCGGUGGUGGGGGGUAAACCUCUGCCCAGUGCCAGAGCUCUGCUGGAGUCACCUACAGAGGUUAUUUUUACCCUUUUUGGGCUUUGUCUUUUGGAUAGCGUUUAGUAGUGUACAAAAUUAUAAGCACAUUUUCAAUGAUGUGUAUUAAAGAGGCACCUUUUAUUUGUAUUAAUCACCUUUGAUAGACAAUUUGGUGCCUGCAGUUCUUGGUAAAUUGUAAAUGUCUCACUUUGGGUGUAUAAAUUGUUAACCCUUUCGAACUUAUCAAAAAUGGCUAAGUUUAAAAAAAAAAAACAAAAAUGCUUAGGAUAGAAAAUUAGCAGCUUAAUGACAAUACACUUAGUCCACUGCAAGUGCCCUCAUCCUUCCUAGCUGCAGAGUUGUUUGCUUUCCAAAGCUGAAACUUGAGCAUGGUCAACCAUUUUUUCUCAGUAACAAAGGCAGUUUUGCAUGGCAGUUCUCUUGCUGUACUCAAAUGCAUGCACUUAUUAUCUAUGCAAGCAUCUAAUAUGAACCACAGUCCGUGCUUUCAGUACCCAGAGCUGCUCGGUGGGCACCGGGGCAUGCUUUGACUCUGUGCUUCUGUUCCUUGGUGCAGCGCCGUGUUGGCACACAGGAGCAUGUACCUGGUUUCCUGCUUUAUUUGCACAUCUUUUUGAUUCUUUCCUUUGCAGAAUUUGGGAUAACUGACAAGGCUGGAGUGCAGCGUAAUGUCAAAGGAAUUCGAAACGUUGAAAUGAGAACAAACUGGUUUUCUGUAUUGUAUUGUUUUCCUUUUUUUUUCCUUUUUUCCUUUUUUUUGGUGUUUGUUUUGUUUUAAAACAGGGCAAUCCUGGUCAGCGUUCUAUACGUAGCCUGCUGCUUUGUGUACCUUUGCUGACACACUCUGGGUGGUGAGAAGGGGCUGUGGGGCAGAGCCGUGCCCCUAUGGGCCAUGCCCAGGGCUCAGCCAGCAUGGAGAGGGGUGGGAAGUGACAUUCCAAUUGGUUUUGCUGUCAUCUUUUUUUUUUCCUAUCUUUGUCAUUGCCUCCUAAUCUGAAACAAUUUGGCGGCAUCCAACGUUACCUGUGGAGGGAACUGAAAUUUAGUUUUAAUCUGUGGUGAGAUGAAAGUCCUACUACGUGGUUUCCUUAACAAAAGCACCAUGAAGCAUCUACUAUUAGGAGCUUUACUUUGUAAAAUAAAGAAAGAAGAGUGGGAAUAUGAGGAAUUGGAAUUCAGUGGAGAAAAAAAAAGGGGGGGAAAAAUGUAAUAAAAUACAAUAAAUUUAUUACUAGGCCUCCUGCCUCAGUGAGUGUUUUUCAGUCCCCUGUGGCCACCCCUCAGCACGGUCCCUUGGGGGUGGGACAGCCCUGCACCCUGUGUCCCUGGGACAUGCUUUGCUCCUAAACCUUGC
Molecule: long non-coding RNA, 2663 nt
Filed under: Gallus gallus (chicken)
Lineage: Eukaryota; Metazoa; Chordata; Aves; Galliformes; Phasianidae
Description: lncRNA (ENSGALG00010022715.1)
Source: RNAcentral